UACAGAGGGGGCAAGCGUUGUUCGGAAUUACUGGGCGUAAAGGGCGCGUAGGCGGCCUUCUAAGUCGAACGUGAAAUCCCUGGGCUCAACCCAGGAACUGCGUCCGAUACUGGAAGGCUUGAAUUCGGGAGAGGGAUGCGGAAUUCCAGGUGUAGCGGUGAAAUGCGUAGAUAUCUGGAGGAACACCGGUGGCGAAGGCGGCAUCCUGGACCGAGAUUGACGCUGAGGCGCGAAAGCCAGGGGAGCAAACGGG
RNAcentral lists this ribosomal RNA (253 nucleotides) under uncultured bacterium. RNAcentral describes it as "partial 16S ribosomal RNA". It matches the Rfam family "Bacterial small subunit ribosomal RNA", at positions 524 to 776 of the family's 1533-position model. The record is from RNAcentral.